RNAcentral lists this ribosomal RNA (113 nucleotides) under Acanthosepion pharaonis. Lineage: Eukaryota; Metazoa; Mollusca; Cephalopoda; Sepiida; Sepiidae. The record is from RNAcentral.
UAUGGCCAUAUCACGUUGAAACACUAGUUCUUGUCCGAUCACCGAAGUUAAGCAAUAUUGAGGCUGGUCAGUACCUAGAUUGGUGACCCCUUGAGAAUACCAGGGGCUGUAAG